Molecule: ribosomal RNA, 477 nt
Filed under: uncultured organism
Description: partial 16S ribosomal RNA
Rfam family: Bacterial small subunit ribosomal RNA
Source: RNAcentral
UACACUCCUGCGGGAGGCAGCAGUGGGGAAUAUUGCCCAAUGGGCGCAAGCCUGAUGCAGCCAUGCCGCGUGUAUGAAGAAGGCCUUCGGGUUGUAAAGUACUUUCAGCGGGGAGGAAGGCGAUAAGGUUAAUAACCUUGUCGAUUGACGUUACCAGCAGAAGAAGCACCGGCUAACUCCGUGCCAGCAGCCGCGGUAAUACGGAGGGUGCAAGCGUUAAUCGGAAUUACUGGGCGUAAAGCGCACGCAGGCGGUCUGUCAAGUCGGAUGUGAAAUCCCCGGGCUCAACCUGGGAACUGCAUUCGAAACUGGCAGGCUAGAGUCUUGUAGAGGGGGGUAGAAUUCCAGGUGUAGCGGUGAAAUGCGUAGAGAUCUGGAGGAAUACCGGUGGCGAAGGCGGCCCCCUGGACAAAGACUGACGCUCAGGUGCGAAAGCGUGGGGAGCAAACAGGAUUAGAUACCCCAGUAGUCCCAUGA